Molecule: ribosomal RNA, 1114 nt
Filed under: Sinocrossocheilus liuchengensis
Lineage: Eukaryota; Metazoa; Chordata; Actinopteri; Cypriniformes; Cyprinidae
Description: partial 16S ribosomal RNA
Rfam family: Bacterial large subunit ribosomal RNA (bases 182-1095)
Source: RNAcentral
CAGCUAGCUUAUCCACCAAUAUAACCAAAUAAUAUAAAUAAAAUAGAAUAGGCCAAACACCAAAAAUUAAACCAUUCUUUUACCUGAGUAUGGGAGACAGAAAAGGUUCAACCAAAGCAAUAGAUAUAGUACCGCAAGGGAAAGCUGAAAGAGAAAUGAAACAACCCAUAUAAGUACCAAAAAGCAAAGACUAAACCUUGUACCUUUUGCAUCAUGAUUUAGCCAGUAAACACAAGCAAAGAGACCUUUAGUUUGAAACCCCGAAACCAGGUGAGCUACCCCGAGACAGCCUAUUAAGGGCCAACCCGUCUCUGUGGCAAAAGAGUGGGAAGAGCUCCGGGUAGAAGUGACAGACCUACCGAACCUGGUGAUAGCUGGUUGCCUAAGAAAUGGAUAGAAGUUCAGCCUCGUACGCCUCAAAUCAAACAAGCACUAACCAAGACACCAAGAGAAAAACACGAGAGUUAGUUAAAGGGGGUACAGCCCCUUUAACAAAGGAUACAACCUUAUCCAGGAGGAUAAAGAUCAUAAUAUAUAAAACAUGCUGUUCUAGUGGGCCUAAAAGCAGCCACCUAAACAGAAAGCGUUAAAGCUCAGACAGAAAAAAGUUUAUUAUUCUGAUAAAAAAUCUUACUCCCCUAAAUACUAUUAGGCUAAUCCAUGCCCCCAUGGAAGAAAUUAUGCUAAAAUGAGUAACAAGAAGGCCCGCCCUUCUCCAAGCACAAGUGUAAGCCAAAACGGACCAACCAUUGGCAAUUAACGAACUCAACCCAAGAGGGCAAUGUGAACUAUAAAAAAAACAAGAAAACCCCACAACUCAACUAUCGUUAACCCCACACUGGAGUGCCAUUUAAAGGAAAGACUAAAAGAAAGGGAAGGAACUCGGCAAACACAAGCCUCGCCUGUUUACCAAAAACAUCGCCUCCUGCAACGCAGCCAUGUAUAGGAGGUCCAGCCUGCCCAGUGACUACAAGUUCAACGGCCGCGGUAUUUUGACCGUGCAAAGGUAGCGCAAUCACUUGUCUUUUAAAUAGAGACCUGUAUGAAUGGCUAAACGAGGGCUUAACUGUCUCCCCUUUCAAGUCAGUGAAAUUGAUCUGCCCGUGCAGAAGCG